This 403-nucleotide ribosomal RNA is filed under the name uncultured bacterium. RNAcentral's name for it is "bacterial SSU rRNA". It matches the Rfam family "Bacterial small subunit ribosomal RNA", at positions 60 to 507 of the family's 1533-position model. The record is from RNAcentral.
AGUCGCACGAAGGUUUCGGCCUUAGUGGCGGACGGGUGAGUAACGCGUAGGUAUCUAUCCACGGGUGGGGGAUAACAGCGGGAAACUGCUGCUAAUACCGCAURAUGCCYGAGGGCCAAAGGCGCAAGUCGCCUGUGGAGGAGCCUGCGUACGAUUAGCUUGUUGGUGGGGUAACUGCCUACCAAGGCGACGAUCGUUAGCUGGUCUGAGAGGAUGAUCAGCCACAUUGGGACUGAGACACGGCCCAAACUCCUACGGGAGGCAGCAGUGGGGAAUAUUGGACAAUGGGCGAAAGCCUGAUCCAGCAAUGCCGCGUGUGUGAAGAAGGUCUUAGGAUUGUAAAGCACUUUCGACGGGGACGAUGAUGACGGUACCCGUAGAAGAAGCCCCGGCUAACUUCGUG